Molecule: long non-coding RNA, 275 nt
Organism: Alnus glutinosa
Lineage: Eukaryota; Viridiplantae; Streptophyta; Magnoliopsida; Fagales; Betulaceae
Exons: 3
Source: RefSeq, a predicted model, not a curated record
CAUUUUUCCUAUUUUCUCUUUGGUUUUCAUACAAAAAUUGUGAUCUGCAAAGAUCUAAUCGUCUAAACUCAAAUCCGAUUUUGGAAACGUGAUCGACGAAGUCCGAUCUACGUUUCUACCGAUUGUUUUGAAGUAAUGGGAUAUUUGGAACUUGCUUGAAGCUACCCAAACCAUGGGUUUUGGUUUGGUGAAUUUUGUGAUACAUUGCAAGGUGGCGUCUAGGAGACCUAAGCUUAAUAUCUGUGCAACCAGAUGAGUAUUCUACUCACUAAGAG